AUCCUGAGCAGAGUUGAAAAGGACUUAGAGAAGAAGAGAUUGGCGUAGCAUGGAAGUGACAAUAUGAGUUGUUUGUCAUCCCAGUAGAAUCCACAUAGUGCUACACCUGGUCAUUAUUGCCUAUUUCAAUUAACCAUGGGCCCAUCAAUAGCAGCCAUUGAAUUAACUUUCCUUCCUUUGAGGUUGAAAAGAUUUUUGCAGAAUUAUUCAAUCAGUUCCCAAAUUAGCCGAUGAGGAGCAGUUUAAUGACAUGCCAGUUCUUUUGUGGCAAGGAUAAUGUGUUUUGUCCUCUUCAAUAACGUCAUGUAUCUAUCACUGUAAAGGGAAGAGGCAGUGCAAUUUCUUGGGAGGAAAUUCUGAAUUAACUCGGGCUACUUAACUGCUUAUGGUGAUAGUUCUUACCCCAAAAAAAAGAAAAGAAAAGAAGAGAAAAGAAAAGAAAAGAAAAGCUGGUAUCCUAAAAGUUGGGCAAAAGGAUCAAACUGUACUUUCAAAGGAGCUCCAUUUCUGCACCUAACAUUUGCUACAUAUGUUCCCAAUAAAAUUGUAACAAUGUGAGCAUAUCUCAAAAGGAUUCAUAACAUUCUGUCACUUCAAUUUAAUGUUCUUACCAAUAAAAAAGAGAAGAGACUAUUUUGUCAUCAUUAAUAUGGCAGAUAGAAUUGUAAUUAUAUGCAAAUGAUCAAAUAUAUUUAAUUGCACAAUAGCUUAACUGCAACAUGAGAGGGACCAGAUGAUGGAAUAUUCUAUUUCUACAAAUGAAAGUACAUUUGGGAAUGCAAAUCUUUUGAAUAUAAGGUAUAAAAUAUAUACAGAAGAAGAAAUAUAUGAUAAUUUGAAGAUUGAGAAGACAAUUUUAACUAGGAAAAUACAGACAAGUCUCUCACUGAAAAUGAAAUUUAAGUUAAGCCUUGGGGAUAUCUAA
Molecule: long non-coding RNA, 925 nt
Filed under: Monodelphis domestica (gray short-tailed opossum)
Lineage: Eukaryota; Metazoa; Chordata; Mammalia; Didelphimorphia; Didelphidae
Description: lncRNA (ENSMODG00000045826.1)
Source: RNAcentral